RNAcentral lists this ribosomal RNA (394 nucleotides) under uncultured bacterium. RNAcentral describes it as "partial 16S ribosomal RNA". It matches the Rfam family "Bacterial small subunit ribosomal RNA", at positions 523 to 918 of the family's 1533-position model. The record is from RNAcentral.
AUACGUAGGGAGCGAGCAUUGUCCGGAAUUACUGGGCGUAAAGGGCGCGUAGGCCGUGUUAUAAGUUAGUUGUAAAACGUGUGGGCUUAACCCGCGUUCGCAACUAAAACUGUAACGCUAGAGGCAUAGGGAGGCAGACGGAAUUCCUGGUGUAGCGGUGAAAUGCGUAGAUAUCAGGAAGAACACCGGUGGAGAAGGCGGUCUGCUGGCUAUGAACAGACGCUGAAGCGCAAAAGCCAGGGGAGCAAACGGGAUUAGAUACCCCGGUAGACCAGACAGAAAACGAUGUAUGCUGGGUGUGGGCGUAGCGAUACGUCCGUGCCGAAGUUAACGCGAUAAGCAUACCGCCUGGGGAGUACGGUCGCAAGAUUGAAACUCAAAGGAAUUGACGGGG